Molecule: ribosomal RNA, 579 nt
Filed under: Rhodotorula mucilaginosa
Lineage: Eukaryota; Fungi; Basidiomycota; Microbotryomycetes; Sporidiobolales; Sporidiobolaceae
Description: eukaryotic LSU rRNA
Rfam family: Eukaryotic large subunit ribosomal RNA
Source: RNAcentral
CGGGAUUCCCUAGUAGCGGCGAGCGAAGCGGGAAGAGCUCAAAUUUAUAAUCUGGCACCUUCGGUGUCCGAGUUGUAAUCUCUAGAAAUGUUUUCCGCGUUGGACCGCACACAAGUCUGUUGGAAUACAGCGGCAUAGUGGUGAGACCCCCGUAUAUGGUGCGGACGCCCAGCGCUUUGUGAUACAUUUUCGAAGAGUCGAGUUGUUUGGGAAUGCAGCUCAAAUUGGGUGGUAAAUUCCAUCUAAAGCUAAAUAUUGGCGAGAGACCGAUAGCGAACAAGUACCGUGAGGGAAAGAUGAAAAGCACUUUGGAAAGAGAGUUAACAGUACGUGAAAUUGUUGGAAGGGAAACGCUUGAAGUCAGACUUGCUUGCCGAGCAAUCGGUUUGCAGGCCAGCAUCAGUUUUCCGGGAUGGAUAAUGGUAGAGAGAAGGUAGCAGUUUCGGCUGUGUUAUAGCUCUCUGCUGGAUACAUCUUGGGGGACUGAGGAACGCAGUGUGCCUUUGGCGGGGGUUUCGACCUCUUCACACUUAGGAUGCUGGUGGAAUGGCUUUAAACGACCCGUCUUGAACCACGGAC